RNAcentral lists this ribosomal RNA (1447 nucleotides) under uncultured bacterium. Its description in RNAcentral is "bacterial SSU rRNA". It matches the Rfam family "Bacterial small subunit ribosomal RNA". The record is from RNAcentral.
AGAGUUUGAUCCUGGCUCAGGAUGGACGCUGGCGGCGUGCUUAACACAUGCAAGUCGAACGAACCUUCGGGUUAGUGGCGGACGGGUGAGUAACGCGUGAGAAUCUGCCCUCAGGAGGGGGACAACAGUUGGAAACGACUGCUAAUACCCCAUAUGCCGCGAGGUGAAAUGAAUUUCGCCUGAGGAUGAGCUCGCGUCUGAUUAGCUAGUUGGUGUAGGUAAUGGCUCACCAAGGCAUCGAUCAGUAGCUGGUCUGAGAGGAUGAUCAGCCACACUGGGACUGAGACACGGCCCAGACUCCUACGGGAGGCAGCAGUGGGGAAUUUUCCGCAAUGGGCGAAAGCCUGACGGAGCAACGCCGCGUGAGGGAUGAAGGCCUCUGGGCUGUAAACCUCUUUUAUCAAGGAAGAAGAUCUGACGGUACUUGAUGAAUAAGCCACGGCUAAUUCCGUGCCAGCAGCCGCGGUAAUACGGGAGUGGCAAGCGUUAUCCGGAAUUAUUGGGCGUAAAGCGUCCGCAGGCGGCCCUUCAAGUCUGCUGUUAAAAAGUGGAGCUUAACUCCAUCAUGGCAGUGGAAACUGUUGGGCUUGAGUGUGGUAGGGGCAGAGGGAAUUCCCGGUGUAGCGGUGAAAUGCGUAGAUAUCGGGAAGAACACCAGUGGCGAAGGCGCUCUGCUGGGCCAUCACUGACGCUCAUGGACGAAAGCCAGGGGAGCGAAAGGGAUUAGAUACCCCUGUAGUCCUGGCCGUAAACGAUGAACACUAGGUGUCGGGGGAAUCGACCCCCUCGGUGUCGUAGCCAACGCGUUAAGUGUUCCGCCUGGGGAGUACGCACGCAAGUGUGAAACUCAAAGGAAUUGACGGAGGCCCGCACAAGCGGUGGAGUAUGUGGUUUAAUUCGAUGCAACGCGAAGAACCUUACCAGGGUUUGACAUCCUGCGAAUCUCUUGGAAACGAGAGAGUGCCUUCGGGAACGCAGUGACAGGUGGUGCAUGGCUGUCGUCAGCUCGUGUCGUGAGAUGUUGGGUUAAGUCCCGCAACGAGCGCAACCCACGUCUUUAGUUGCCAGCAUUUAGUUGGGCACUCUAGAGAGACCGCCGGUGAUAAACCGGAGGAAGGUGUGGAUGACGUCAAGUCAUCAUGCCCCUUACAUCCUGGGCUACACACGUACUACAAUGCUACGGACAAAGGGCAGCAAGUUCGCGAGGACAAGCAAAUCCCAUACACCGUGGCUCAGUUCAGAUCGUAGGCUGCAACUCGCCUACGUGAAGGAGGAAUCGCUAGUAAUCGCAGGUCAGCAUACUGCGGUGAAUACGUUCCCGGGCCUUGUACACACCGCCCGUCACACCAUGGAAGUUGGCCACGCCCGAAGCCGUUACUCCAACCCUUGUGGAGGAGGACGUCGAAGGUGGGGCUGAUGACUGGGGUGAAGUCGUAACAAGGUAACC